GGACUACAAGGGUAUCUAAUCCUGUUUGCUCCCCUUGCUCUCGCGCCUCAGCGUCAGGUGCAAGCUAGAGAACCGCUUUCGCCACCGGUGUUCCUCCACAUCUCUACGCAUUUCACCGCUACUUGUGGAAUUCCGUUCUCUCCGCACGCCCUCAGAGCCCUGCAGUAUUAAGUGCCGCGCUGGAGUUGAGCCCCAGCAUUUCACACCUAACUUACAGGGCCGCCUACGCGCCCUUUACGCCCAGUAAAUCCGACUAAUGCUUGCACCCUCCGUAUUACCGCGGCUGCUGGCAC
This 293-nucleotide ribosomal RNA is filed under the name uncultured bacterium. RNAcentral's name for it is "partial 16S ribosomal RNA". The record is from RNAcentral.